Non-coding RNA from Rickenella mellea, 86 nucleotides. The record is from the annotation of a GenBank genome assembly. NCBI's taxonomy places the organism in Eukaryota, Fungi, Basidiomycota, Agaricomycetes, Hymenochaetales, Rickenellaceae.
GGUCUUAUAGUGUAGCGGUUAUCACUCGGGAUUCUGACUAAGCAACGGACCUUCCCGCGACCCCGGUUCGAACCCGGGUAAGACCU